CAGCCGCCGCGGUAAUACCGGCGGCCCGAGUGGCGGUCACUAUUAUUGGGCUUAAAACGUCCGUAGCCGGGUUGGGAAGUCCUCCGGGAAAUCUGGCCGCUUAACGGUCAGAAUGCCGGAGGAUACUCCCAGCCUAGGGAGCGGGAGAGGCCGAGGGUAUUCCCGGAGUAGGGGGGAAAUCCUAUAAACCCGGGAGGACCACCUGUGGCGAAGGCGCUCGGCUGGAACGCGUCCGACGGUGAGGGACGAAGGCCAGGGGAGCAAACCGGAUUAGAUACCCGGGUAGUCCUGGCUGUAAACGAUGCGGACUUUGUGUCGGACAAGCUAUGAGCUUGUCCGGUGCCGGAGGGAAACCGUUAAGUCCGCCGCCUGGGGAGUACGGCCGCAAGGCUGAAACUUAAAGGAAUUGGCGGG
This 414-nucleotide ribosomal RNA is filed under the name uncultured microorganism. Its description in RNAcentral is "bacterial SSU rRNA". It matches the Rfam family "Archaeal small subunit ribosomal RNA", at positions 459 to 872 of the family's 1478-position model. The record is from RNAcentral.